RNAcentral lists this ribosomal RNA (1254 nucleotides) under Lactiplantibacillus plantarum. RNAcentral's name for it is "bacterial SSU rRNA". It matches the Rfam family "Bacterial small subunit ribosomal RNA", at positions 93 to 1330 of the family's 1533-position model. Lineage: Bacteria; Bacillati; Bacillota; Bacilli; Lactobacillales; Lactobacillaceae. The record is from RNAcentral.
GAGUGGCGAACUGGUGAGUAACACGUGGGAAACCUGCCCAGAAGCGGGGGAUAACACCUGGAAACAGAUGCUAAUACCGCAUAACAACUUGGACCGCAUGGUCCGAGCUUGAAAGAUGGCUUCGGCUAUCACUUUUGGAUGGUCCCGCGGCGUAUUAGCUAGAUGGUGGGGUAACGGCUCACCAUGGCAAUGAUACGUAGCCGACCUGAGAGGGUAAUCGGCCACAUUGGGACUGAGACACGGCCCAAACUCCUACGGGAGGCAGCAGUAGGGAAUCUUCCACAAUGGACGAAAGUCUGAUGGAGCAAACGCCGCGUGAGUGAAGAAGGGUUUCGGCUCGUAAAACUCUGUUGUUAAAGAAGAACAUAUCUGAGAGUAACUGUUCAGGUAUUGACGGUAUUUAACCAGAAAAGGCCAGGGCUAAACUACGUGCCAGCAGCCGCGGUAAUACGUAGGUGGCAAGCGUUGUCCGGAUUUAUUGGGCGUAAAGCGAGCGCAGGCGGUUUUUUAAGUCUGAUGUGAAAGCCUUCGGCUCAACCGAAGAAGUGCAUCGGAAACUGGGAAACUUGAGUGCAGAAGAGGACAGUGGAACUCCAUGUGUAGCGGUGAAAUGCGUAGAUAUAUGGAAGAACACCAGUGGCGAAGGCGGCUGUCUGGUCUGUAACUGACGCUGAGGCUCGAAAGUAUGGGUAGCAAACAGGAUUAGAUACCCUGGUAGUCCAUACCGUAAACGAUGAAUGCUAAGUGUUGGAGGGUUUCCGCCCUUCAGUGCUGCAGCUAACGCAUUAAGCAUUCCGCCUGGGGAGUACGGCCGCAAGGCUGAAACUCAAAGGAAUUGACGGGGGCCCGCACAAGCGGUGGAGCAUGUGGUUUAAUUCGAAGCUACGCGAAGAACCUUACCAGGUCUUGACAUACUAUGCAAAUCUAAGAGAUUAGACGUUCCCUUCGGGGACAUGGAUACAGGUGGUGCAUGGUUGUCGUCAGCUCGUGUCGUGAGAUGUUGGGUUAAGUCCCGCAACGAGCGCAACCCUUAUUAUCAGUUGCCAGCAUUAAGUUGGGCACUCUGGUGAGACUGCCGGUGACAAACCGGAGGAAGGUGGGGAUGACGUCAAAUCAUCAUGCCCCUUAUGACCUGGGCUACACACGUGCUACAAUGGAUGGUACAACGAGUUGCGAACUCGCGAGAGUAAGCUAAUCUCUUAAAGCCAUUCUCAGUUCGGAUUGUAGGCUGCAACUCGCCUACAUGAAGUCGGA